ACGUUUCCACUGCACUUUCUCCUUUGUUUUACGUUUGGGAGGAGGUGGCACUGAAAAUAGCAGAGUGCUUCGCGGUAGCAGGGGUUGGAGUGCAAUGGUGUGAUCUCAGCUCACUGCAACCCCUGCCUCCCAGGCUCCAGCGAUCCUCCCACCUCAGCCUCCUGAAUAGCUGGGACCACCAGUGCACUUGGCAAACCCACCCCACCCACCGCCUCCCUUGGGAAUUCAGACCUAACCAUCGCUGAGCUGAAGUACAAAUGUACUGAGGCUGGAGCCUGUGUGAACAGAACAGAAGAGGCCUUCACUCUAGUAGUGCUCACAGUCCAGCAGGUAAGACAGACUUGAAGCAAGGGACACCAGAGCUCUGAUCAGUGUGAAAUACGGAG
This is a long non-coding RNA of Symphalangus syndactylus (siamang), 386 nucleotides long. RefSeq lists it as uncharacterized. The record is from RefSeq and is a predicted model, not a curated record. NCBI's taxonomy places the organism in Eukaryota, Metazoa, Chordata, Mammalia, Primates, Hylobatidae.